RNAcentral lists this transfer RNA (73 nucleotides) under Geoglobus ahangari. RNAcentral's name for it is "tRNA-Val". It matches the Rfam family "tRNA". From Rfam's summary of the family: Transfer RNA (tRNA) molecules are approximately 80 nucleotides in length. Their secondary structure includes four short double-helical elements and three loops (D, anti-codon, and T loops). Lineage: Archaea; Methanobacteriati; Methanobacteriota; Archaeoglobi; Archaeoglobales; Archaeoglobaceae. The record is from RNAcentral.
GGGUCCGUGGUCUAGGGGUUAUGACGCCGCCCUCACACGGCGGAGGUCGAGGGUUCGAAUCCCUCCGGACCCA